CCCUUAGAUGUUCUGGGCCGCACGCGCGCUACACUGAUUCAUGCAACAAGUUUUGUCCUUGGCUGAUAGGCCUGGGUAAUCUUUGAACGUGAAUCGUGAUGGGGAUAGAUGAUUGCAAUUAUUCAUCUUCAACGAGGAAUUCCUAGUAAACGCAAGUCAUCAGCUUGCAUUGAUUACGUCCCUGCCCUUUGUACACACCGUCCGUCGCACCUACCGAUUGAAUGGUCCGGUGAAAUCUUCGGAUCUGAGAGAUGUCUGAUUAAUUUCGGACGCCUUUUGGAAAAGUUGCUUAAACCUUACCAUUUAGAGGAAGGUGAAGUCGUAACA
Molecule: ribosomal RNA, 327 nt
Filed under: uncultured eukaryote
Lineage: Eukaryota
Description: partial 18S ribosomal RNA
Rfam family: Eukaryotic small subunit ribosomal RNA
Source: RNAcentral